RNAcentral lists this ribosomal RNA (254 nucleotides) under uncultured bacterium. RNAcentral describes it as "partial 16S ribosomal RNA". It matches the Rfam family "Bacterial small subunit ribosomal RNA", at positions 524 to 776 of the family's 1533-position model. The record is from RNAcentral.
UACGGGGGGAGCAAGCGUUAUUCGGAUUUACUGGGCGUAAAGGGCGCGUAGGCGGUCAGCACAAGUCAGUUGUGAAAUCUCCGGGCUUAACUCGGAAAGGUCAACUGAUACUGUGCGACUAGAGUGCAGAAGGGGCAACUGGAAUUCUCGGUGUAGCGGUGAAAUGCGUAGAUAUCGAGAGGAACACCUGCGGCGAAGGCGGGUUGCUGGGCUGACACUGACGCUGAUGCGCGAAAGCCAGGGGAGCGAACGGG